RNAcentral lists this unclassified non-coding RNA (339 nucleotides) under soil metagenome. RNAcentral describes it as "partial contains 5.8S ribosomal RNA, internal transcribed spacer 2, and large subunit ribosomal RNA". The stretch from base 1 to 120 matches the Rfam family "5.8S ribosomal RNA", at positions 35 to 154 of the family's 154-position model. The record is from RNAcentral.
GAUGAAGAACGUAGCGAAAUGCGAUACGUAGUGUGAAUUGCAGAAUUCAGUGAAUCAUCGAAUCUUUGAACGCACAUUGCACCUCUCGGUAUUCCGGGAGGUAUGCCUGUUCGAGCGUCAUUUGUACCCUCAAGCUCUGCUUGGUGUUGGGUGUUUGUUCCGCCUCUGUGUGUGAACUCGCCUCAAAACAAUCGGCAGCCGGCGUACUUGUUUCGGAGCGCAGCACAUUUUGCGAUCCAGAUCAACGUACAGCGGCAUCCAAGAAGCCUUAUUUAACGCUCUUGACCUCGGAUCAGGUAGGGAUACCCGCUGAACUUAAGCAUAUCAAUAAGCGGAGGA